This is a long non-coding RNA of Glycine soja, 1474 nucleotides long. RefSeq lists it as uncharacterized. The record is from RefSeq and is a predicted model, not a curated record. The transcript has 4 exons. NCBI's taxonomy places the organism in Eukaryota, Viridiplantae, Streptophyta, Magnoliopsida, Fabales, Fabaceae.
UAUUUUUGUGAAUAAUUACAAAUUUUCAAAGAUCUUUUCAAAUUUGAAAUUAAACCCUCAAGGUCGGGUUUAUAAAGAAACCGUUUCACGCAGUCCUCGCGUCCAUUCAUCUCCUCACAUAUUUUUCGUUUUCAAUUUUUCAUUCCCCACCGAAAAAAACUCUGCCGCCACGACGAUCACUCCUCUGCCGCAUUCGUGAUCAAGGACCUGGUCGUGGACAUGAUGAACUUCUACACAAAUUUAAGAGAAUUUAUGGUCCUCCGUAAAAUGAAUCACUCAAAUAUCAUAAAGUUGAAAGAGGUUGUUAGAGAAAAUAAUGAACUAUUUUUCAUUUUUGAAUACAUGGAUUGUAAUCUUUAUCAAUUAAUAAAGGAGAGAGAAAAGCCCUUUUCAGAGGAAGAGACAGGGUGCUUUAUGAGGCAACAAGGACUUAGUCACAUGCACAAGAAAGGAUUCUUUCAUCGGGAUUUAAAACCUUGUUAGGCAUAUAUAUGAUUUCAUUUAGCAAAUUUCUGAUGGUAUAUUAUGUUUAUACUUUCCAGUUCAAUCUGUCUAAAAAGUCAUAUGGAUCUUGAUCUUUUGGGAAUGUUUUCUGCUAUACUGAGAAUUUACUGGUAACAAAUGAUGUUUUGAAAAUUGCUGAUUUUGGACUGGCUAGAGAAGUAUCAUCGAUGCCUCCAUAUACUCAGUCUGUUUCCACACGGUGGUAUUGAGCUCCGGAAGUUUUGUUGCGAGCCCCUUGUUAUACUCCUGGUGUUGGUAUGCAUAAGUCUUCUUUUUUUUGUUGCGAGCUGGUGUUUAUUUUUGGGAGCUAUCAUGGAUUGGUUUUGGAGGCAAAAGUUAAAAUUUGUAGUUUCUGCUUCCUUAAUCUGGUUUUUGCAUGGGGUCUCCUAAAAGCAAACCCCAACACUAUUUGCAUGAGAUCCUAGUCCUUCAACGAAAUUUAUUUGUAUAAUACAUUUCUUAUACCGUAUGGGUUAUCUGAGUGCACUGAAUGCUCAUAAAUACCCCUCCUAAAAAUAUUAGGACAUUAAAACAUAUCUCUUAUAAAGUACUCAAGUGUUUGACUAGGUCAAAUACUCUUAUCACCUUUUCAUUUAAGGUGAUCUCUCCGCAUAAGUAUUCAGGUGUUCGAUUAAGUCAAGUAUAUAUCCAAAUACUCUAAAUCACCUUGUCACUCAAAGUGAUCUUUUUGCAUAAGUAUUAAGUAUUCGGCUAUGUCAAAUAAGAUAAGAACAAAGAGGAACUUUGAUAUUUCAAAAGUAUCACUUUCAUCUUACUUUUUCCACUCCAAGUGAAAAAAAAGGUGAGAUAAAAGGGAUAUUUUUUUACUUUAGUUGAGUGCAUAUUUUUGUUCUACUUUUUUCAGAAAUCUCAGGAAUACUAAUUUCAGCGAUGUAUUAAAAAAAUAACUAUAUUACCAAAAUUAGUUUUCAUGUUAUUUUUUAUUCAUUAUGAUGAGAAAUUAGUUUCA